UGCCUGUUUCAUCUUUACCCCAUGCCUC
RNAcentral lists this non-coding RNA (28 nucleotides) under Homo sapiens (human). Lineage: Eukaryota; Metazoa; Chordata; Mammalia; Primates; Hominidae. The record is from RNAcentral.